This 395-nucleotide unclassified non-coding RNA is filed under the name soil metagenome. Its description in RNAcentral is "partial contains 5.8S ribosomal RNA, internal transcribed spacer 2, and large subunit ribosomal RNA". The stretch from base 1 to 122 matches the Rfam family "5.8S ribosomal RNA", at positions 35 to 154 of the family's 154-position model. The record is from RNAcentral.
GAUGAAGAACGUAGCGAAAUGCGAUACUUGGUGUGAAUUGCAGAAUCCCGUGAACCAUCGAGUCUUUGAACGCAAGUUGCGCCCGAAGCCAUCAGGUUGAGGGCACGUCUGCCUGGGCGUCACAUAUCGUUGCCCAAUGCCUAUUGCAGUGCAAUAGGAAUUUCUAGGGCGAAUGAUGGCUUCCCGUGAGCGUUGUUGCCUCGCGGUUGGUUGAAAAUCGAGUCCUUGGUAGGGUGUGCCAUGGUAGAUGGUGGUCGAGUUAGAACGAUACCGAUCAUGUGCAUGCUCCCCAAAAUAUGGCCUCUAUGACCCACACGCGUCUUUUGACGCUCAUGACGAGACAUCAGGUCAGGCGGGGCUACCCGCUGAAUUUAAGCAUAUCAAUAAGCGGAGGA